CAGAUAUGGAUUGACACCUGUCCUCAGAGCCCCUGAUACACACUGACACAGAGCAGAAUAGGGAAUGUUACCCCAACAUAGGGUCACUUGGCAGAUAUGGAUUGACACCCGUCCUCAGAGCCCCUGAUACACACUGACACAGAGCAGAAUAGGGAAUGUUACCCCAACAUAGGGUCACUUGGCAGAUAUGGAUUGACACCUGUCCUAAGGAUCCCUAAAAC
This 221-nucleotide long non-coding RNA is filed under the name Pelobates cultripes (western spadefoot toad). The record is from RNAcentral. Lineage: Eukaryota; Metazoa; Chordata; Amphibia; Anura; Pelobatidae.